Molecule: unclassified non-coding RNA, 391 nt
Filed under: uncultured Phycisphaeraceae bacterium
Lineage: Bacteria; Pseudomonadati; Planctomycetota; Phycisphaerae; Phycisphaerales; Phycisphaeraceae
Description: contains 16S-23S intergenic spacer region
Source: RNAcentral
UCCGGUUUGACACCGGCAGUCCCGCUAGAGUGCUCAGCAUCCGAAGACCUGAUGGCAACUAGAGGCAGGGGUUUCGCUCGUUAAGGGACUUAACCCGACACUUCACAGCACGAGCUGACGACAGCCAUGCAGCACCUGUGUACGUUCCACGGUAAACCGCGUCACUCCGCUUUCACAGAGCUAAUCCGUACAUGUCAAGCCCAGGAUAAGGUUCUUCGCGUUGCUUCGAAUUAAGCCACAUGCUCCACCGCUUGUGUGAGCCCCCGUCAAUUCCUUUGAGUUUUAGCCUUGCGACCGUACUCCCCAGGCGGUGUACUAAUUACUUUUGCUUCGACCCCGAUGAUGUCAGCAUCUCCGAGAUCUAGUACACAUCGUUUACGGCGUGGACUAC